GACGAACGCUGGCGGCGUGCUUAACACAUGCAAGUCGAACGGAAAGGCCCUGCUUUUGUGGGGUGCUCGAGUGGCGAACGGGUGAGUAACACGUGAGUAACCUGCCCUUGACUUUGGGAUAACUUCAGGAAACUGGGACUAAUACCGGAUAGGAGCUCCUGCUGCAUGGUGGGGGUUGGAAAGUUUCGGCGGUUGGGGAUGGACUCGCGGCUUAUCAGCUUGUUGGUGGGGUAGUGGCUGACCAAGGCUUUGACGGGUAGCCGGCCUGAGAGGGUGACCGGCCACAUUGGGACUGAGAUACGGCCCAGACUCCUACGGGAGGCAGCAGUGGGGAAUAUUGCACAAUGGGCGGAAGCCUGAUGCAGCAACGCCGCGUGCGGGAUGACGGCCUUCGGGUUGUAAACCGCUUUCGCCUGUGACGAAGCGUGAGUGACGGUAAUGGGUAAAGAAGCACCGGCUAACUACGUG
This 468-nucleotide ribosomal RNA is filed under the name uncultured bacterium. RNAcentral describes it as "partial 16S ribosomal RNA". It matches the Rfam family "Bacterial small subunit ribosomal RNA", at positions 28 to 507 of the family's 1533-position model. The record is from RNAcentral.